RNAcentral lists this long non-coding RNA (1872 nucleotides) under Homo sapiens (human). RNAcentral describes it as "HSALNT0318199". Lineage: Eukaryota; Metazoa; Chordata; Mammalia; Primates; Hominidae. The record is from RNAcentral.
GGGAGGGGGUCCUGUGAUGGUAUCAGUCAGAUGCCUGUCUGGCCACUCCCGCUGAGGGGACUUGGGCUCCUCUUAGCAUUGGCAGGCCGGUAUAAACUUCCACCUCGGAUCGAGCUGUGCCUGAUGCUGCCUUAAGCCUUAUGAGGUCGCCACGGAACCGCAGCAUCCUAGAAACUCCUGGAGGGCAGAGUCAUGCCUGCCAUCUUCAUCAUUGCAUUACCAGCACCCAGCACAGUGCCUGGCACAAAAGAAUUGCUCAAUAAAUGAAUCAGGAUGAAUGGACAAAUACACGGAUAGGCAGUUUGAACUACAGAUGAGCUUAAAUACUUUGUGCUUUUCUUAGUCAAACAUGUGCAAUUAAGCAUAAUGAUAUGACCACACCUGUGUGUCAUAUACCACACCUGUGUCUUGCCUGAUGUUCUUUGCAGUCACUAAAUGAAGUCAAUUGUGCCUGUUUUCACAGUUCUGUUUUCAACCUAAUGAUCUGUUUCUUUUAACUUCUGACUGUUGGCUUUGUUUGGGUUUCUUAGCCUGACAAAGUGACAGAUAUUGGUAUGUGCUCUUUUGUUUACAUGUCACGAACUUUAAAAAUGCCUUUGCUUUUGGUAAGAAACCCUAGUUAAGACAGUCUAGUGGUCAGGAUGAUUUGGGUUCUGGUGCAGUAACAACAAUCCCCAAAUCUCAGUGGCACCAUGCAGUGACGUAUUUGUUUGUUUGUUUUUGAGAAAGGGUCUCACUCUGUCACCCAGGCUAGAGUGCAGUGGCACAAUCUCAGCUCACUGCCACCUCUGCCUCCCAGACUCAAGCGAUUCUCCUGCUUCCUGAGUAGCUGGGAUUACAGGCCCAUGUCACUACUGUCUGCCUAAUUUUUGUACUUUAGUAGAGACAGGAUUUCACCAUGUUAGCCAGGCUGGUCUUGAACUCCUGACCUCAAAUGAUCCACCUGCCUUGGCCUCCCAAAGUGCUGGGAUGACAGGCAUGAGCCACCAUGCCUGGCCACAGUGAGGCUUGUUCUUGGUCACGUUGAAUGUCUGGGCUGUGUUAGGGCAUUGUGGGGUGGUCUGUUCAUUGUGUUCACUCAGGGAUCCAGGCUGACAAAAGCCCCAUCUCUGCAUGUGUCCUUGAUCACCACUUCAGGGGAAAGGGAAUGUGGUGGAUCACAGAGCCUCUAAACACUUCCACCUGGAGGUGACUCAAGUUGCCCCUGCUCAUGGUUCAUUGGAAAAAACGGAUCACAGAGUCAUGGACAACUUCUCUGUGCCUGGAAAGGGAACCAAAAUAUGAAUAGCUACAUUGAUUUUCCCUAGCUAUUACACAGAAGGCCUCAUUUAAGCGCAGUUACUUAUUUGUGUUUUGAAGCUAACUGUAGUCCAUCAACCUUCAGAGAAGAUAUGUGCACUUCCAAGCUAUUAUUAUUAUUUUUUUUUUUGAGAUAGAGUCUCACUCUGUUGCUCAGGCUGGAGUGCAGUGGCAUGAUCAUGGAUCACUGCAACUUCUGCCUCCUGGGUUCAAGUGAUUUUCGUGCCCCAGUCUCCCAAAGUACUGGGAUUACAGACACCCACCACCGCGACUGGCUAAGUUUUGUAGUUUUAGUAGAGAUGGGGUUUCACCAUGUUGGCCUGGCUGAUCUGGAACUCCUGACCUCAGGUGAUCCACCUGCCUUGGCCUCCCAAAGUGCUGAGAUGACAGGCGUGAGCUGCCGCACCCAGCCUUGAGUAUGAUUUUUGAUUCGGAAGGCCAGAGUUAGGGUUUUAGUCUGAGGACAGUAUGAUGUGAAGGUGAAAAGCAGAGCUUGGCUGUGAGUUUGCUGGGAUUCCUGUACUGCUUCUACAGCUCUUUGGCUGUGUGACCGUCACCUUUGGCAAGUUCCUU